RNAcentral lists this ribosomal RNA (301 nucleotides) under uncultured bacterium. RNAcentral's name for it is "partial 16S ribosomal RNA". It matches the Rfam family "Bacterial small subunit ribosomal RNA", at positions 509 to 809 of the family's 1533-position model. The record is from RNAcentral.
CAGUAGCCGCGGUAAAACGGAGGGUGCAAGCGUUAUCCGGAUUUAUUGGGUUUAAAGGGUCCGUAGGCGGACUUAUAAGUCAGUGGUGAAAGCCUGUCGCUUAACGAUAGAACUGCCAUUGAUACUGUAAGUCUUGAGUAUAUUUGAGGUAGCUGGAAUAAGUAGUGUAGCGGUGAAAUGCAUAGAUAUUACUUAGAACACCAAUUGCGAAGGCAGGUUACCAAGAUAUAACUGACGCUGAGGGACGAAAGCGUGGGUAGCGAACAGGAUUAGAUACCCCUGUAGUCCCUGUCUCUUAUAA